UUCCCGGGCCCCGAAUAAGAGGUCGAACACGCCCUGAGACAAGCCGGUGGUCACAUCUGAGAGCCCGACUGGGGAAAGCGAGCGUGCUGAGGAAUGAGAGGUCCGUGGGGGGAUACCCGGUGGAGGUGCUCCCACUGAGGUCCCCAAAUCUCCCCCAGUGCUAAUCGCCAGGGCCUCAUACCCGUAGGUAGAAGGACCGAGGCGGGGAGCCGCUGGGGUGGCUUGCUUUCUUACGAAAAACCGCAACGUUGCCAUGGUCAUGUUCUCGCAAUGAGGACAAGACCCAUCCACGAACGAUAUCUCCGCGGGGGCAGUGCCCAGACACGUAAGACAACGAUCGUGGCCGUCAGAAGCCGAGAGAUAACGACCGCAACCAGGAAUAACACACAAACGGUAAGGCAUCUUAAAAAAGACGUUCCGUGUGUGCCGCUCUUUUAGUGAAGAAAAUAUACUCUUUUAGAAUAUAAUCUUUUUGUUGUUUGUUUUUUUCUGCCAAAGCGCCCUGGGGCAUUCUCUGCACUGCACCGGUGCAGAGGGGGAGAAGCCGCUGAAAUGAGUCGUAAGAAUCCAGCAGAGGAGGUGAAUGAAAAUCGCGGAGAAUUCAGCUCAGUGAAUAGAACCGCUCGGCUCCGAAGAGAAAAUCUGAAUGAGUGGUUGCAUACCAGCUCCUUAUACCCGUAUGUCCAGGGGAGUGGCAUGCAAAUUCCACUCACCAAUUCCCAUUGGCCUUUUUUCAAAGAUCAGAGGUGUUUGGGGCUCCCAAGAGUGACCCCUAGUGUCACUACAUCGACACAACUUCAAAAAGAGGAAAUCACCACCACAGCCCAGUUUUACAGUAAAAGACAGUGAGACAGCAGACAUGACCAACGCUUUCCCUGGAAAGAGGGAUGGUGACUUUCAGCAAAACAACUCAUGCAGCAAUGAAUGACAUUACAACUUUCUAUGUCCAACAGGCACAGUCUGCCAAUAUCAGCUGCAGAUACAGCCCAACAAAUGACACUGAAUUUAUCACGGUGAAACUGACUAAAUAUAAUACAAUAUUGUGUUCAUACUUAAAUAUGAUUUAAUGGACAAAGCAGUCAUGUAAUGACCACAUCACAUUCAUUUGGAUUCCAGAGACUAAUGAAAUAUCAUUUGAGUUGUCAAAUCUUCAGAUAAAUGAUACAGGCACAUACAGCUGUACUGUGAGGAAAAUUGUAAAACCACCUGAAUUAAUUCUGGGAGAAGAAAAAACAAGAGUUCAAGUAAUUGGUAAAUCAUUUCUUUAUAGUCAGGAAAAAUAUGACCUAAAUAACUGUAUUUUAUAGAUUUGAAAUCUUUCCACAUAGAUUUCACAAAGCAAAUAGACAUUAAAAAAAUGUAGAAUUAAGUAUUUUCUAUUAAUCUAUUGACCAUUUGCAGUGUCUCCAGUAUUGUCAGUCUCCUGUGUGCAGAUGCCUGAUGGAUCACCCAUGAUUGUGUGCAUCUCUGAAGGAUUUUACCCCAAUUCUCUUGAACAGUUGUGGAUCAGAGAUGGAGAAAUCCUCAAAAGCUCAAACUCACACAAACACAUCAAUUACAGCAUUAAAAAACACAAUCUACUCCUGCUGGGUAAAUCGCUUGUCCCUAAAAGAACCACUGAUGGUCAAUUUAUCAAGCUCUGUCUGUUAUGAAAGAGGGGGUAAGUCAAAGGAUUAGUUCACCAAAAAUGAAAAUUCAGUCAUUGUUUACUCACACCUGUGUUGUCAUAACCCUAUAUGACUUUCUUUCUUUUUCUUAACACAAAGGGAGAAAAUGUGAAAAAAAGUUGUGCUCAGUAAUGUCAUACAAUGGCGGUUUAUAGUGAUCACCUCUUCAAGCUUCAAAAGAACACAAAAAUAUAAUUCAGAAGAUUAAUAAAUUAUUCCAUGAGACUCGUGAUUGUUAUGAAAGCAUUCGAUUAGGUUUGGUGACAAACAAACCGAAAUCGAAUGUAUUAUUUAGUGAAAAUCUUCACUGACCGUUGAUAUCCUGUGGCUGUUCAUGACAGGGCACGAGAGCAAAAGUUUACAUAGCCCACUCGCGACAUUGGGGCGUUCAAGUGAAAACUCGUUUUGUUUAUCUCAAUACAGGUCCUCCACAGCAAUAGCGACAUCAGAACACAACACAGCUGCACACAAAACAGAGAACAGGUGACUCCAGCCAGGUCUCCUAAGCAACCAAAUUGGCCCGGUUGCUAGGGAGGGUAGUGUCACAUAGGGUAACCUCCUCAUGGUCGCUAUAAUGUGGUUCUCACUCUCAGUUGUGUGCGUGGUGAGUUGUGCGUGGAUGCCGCGGAGAAUAGCGUGAAGCCUCCACACACGCUAGGUCUCCGCGGUAAUGCGCUCAACAAGCCACGUGAUAAGAUGCGCGGAUUGAUGGUCUCAGACGCGGAGGCAACUGAGAUUCAUCCCCCACCAAAAAAUGCUCAUUCUUAAUACUUGGUUGAAAGUAAAAAACUGCCUAAAGUUUUGAACCCAUGGACAUACCCAAAUUCUGGGUUUCCUCCCUAAUGAUGCUUUGCCAGGCCUUUACUGCAGCUGUCUUAAGUUAUUGCUUGUUUGUGGGUCUUUCUGCUUUCAGUUUUGUCAUCAGCAAGUGAAAUGCAUGUUCAGCUGGAUUGAGGUCAGGUAUGUUUUGUGUCACUGUCCAUCAGUACUGUGAAGCGCUGUCCUUUCAGUUUUGCAGCAUUUGGUUGAACCUAAGCAGAUAGUAUUACCCUAAACACUUCUGAAUUCAUCCUUCUUCUUCUGUCAGCAGACAUAUCAUCAACAAACAGCAGUGACCCAGUUCCACUUGCAGCCAUACCUGCCAUGCAAUAACAUGUCUCGACCAUGUUUCACGGGUGAUGUGGUAGAAGAUAGUCCGGAUAUGUUAAAGAACAUGUUUGGACAUGUCCUUCCUUGUGUGUAUUGGCCAGUCGUCGGAUGUCAGUGAUUGUUUAUGGUAUGUUAAUGUUAAUGAUGUCUUACCUCUCACCAUUAUUCCUUCCUGGUAUGCUUUUCACACCUACAUCACUACCUACAUCCUGAAUUUGUUGUUUAAAUAAUGGUUUAAGAUGCUGUAGUUAAAACACAGAAGACAAUCUGCAACUUUCUGUUACAAUGGCUGCUCCGAAAAAUCCUAAAACCCCUAGAAGAGUGAUGUGUAUUUCACCAACAAGAGGACCUGUUGAAAUGAGAGAGGAAAUUACUUUUGCGCCAAGGAAAAAACAAAAUGUUAGUUUGACAAAUUUUCUUCAUGAAGAUGUGGAUUUUGCGAAACGUGAUUUCUCAUUGUCUGGUAAUCGUGUAGGAAGAUAUGUGUUUGACAAGGUGAUGCGGACUGUGAAACUCUAUGCUGUGGAUAUUGGAGCUGAUUUUACAUCACAGGAACCCUGCCUGAUUUUCCCUGCCAAAGACUGGUUUAUGUUUUAUAAUUAGCUUUGGAGAGAUUUGAAUGACUGUGGCGAUGAGCCACUGUACAUCGGUGAGUGGGAUGCCAUGACGACAAGACAAAGCUCUGCGAAAGUGCAUGGCCUAUUCCUGAGUCUGAGCAUCACAUGUACUAUGACAUGAAAUGUUUGUUUCAGCGGAAAGAUGUUCAUAUGCUUGACGACAUUUUUACCUGUAUUGACAAGAUAUUUAGAUGGUGUGACAUGUAUGAUCGCUACAGUUCUGUAAAGACGAUAUUGUUUUACCCUGAGCAGGGCGUCAACAACCCCAAAGACCGCCUCUUAAGUCCGCCCCCAUAUUACAGCCAUUAAAAACGGCAGCAGUUCGGUACAUUCGCUACAUACAUUCACCAUAUGUGAAGAAUCUAUGACUGUAUACUGCUACACCAACACUCCUGAGACUGCACCGGUGAUGCCUGAUGACAAUGCAACACCGCUGGAGCCACACCCACAAACUUGUGACAACAACUGGUUGGAUACAUUUUGCAAGGAUCUGGGGUAUCACAACCUGAUCUUCCUUACAAUGGCGUACAGCAAUGCUGGAGCAAUAGCUGGAGCUGCGGCCUAUGCUGGGAUUGAUGACACAGACAGUUGUAUCCGCUCUGACGGCUUCAAAAUCAUAAAAGCGACUGUCGUGGUCCUUCUGGAACAUCUCAUCAACAAAAAGCUGAAAGAACUCUGUUUGGGCUGCGAGGUGGACCAUCCGAGUCAGAUUAGACAUUCCUGCUUGUUUGAACCUGACGCCUAUUUCUUUGACGCGUACUUUGAUGAACUGUCACAUAAUCUGGUUAAAACAGGACUUAAACACAUCAUAGCUCAAGCAUUGAGCCGGUGUGGUUUGAGGAUUCACCCCCAGAGGAUUCAGGGGACAGUGAACACUAUUAUGCAUGAACUGCGUUACGAAGUUUACAUUGUGGAAAAGCUUCGGGAAGUCAGAGAGAUAGUUGUGGAUGUCAGCAGCGAACAGAUUGUCUAUGAUGCCGUGGACAACUGGAAAGGCUCCACACAAGUUGCCUGUGUGUGAUACUGAAAUGGGGAACACAUGCUGUCCGACAGGACUGGCAAAGCGUCUACUUAAACGUCGUAUUAGAUGUGAGAUGACCAACUUAAUGUACAAAAUCAUUACUGACUGUGUUGAUGUACCCAUUGCUGUAAAUGAACGUGGUGUUGAUCCCAAAUGUUUAACAAACCUCAAGAAGCAAAUAUCUGUUGUAAGAGGCAUGUCAAAUGAGUGGACAGAUAUGAUGCGUAUGUGUAUUCAUGCGGGCGAUCCAAUUUGUGCAACUAUCAGAAAAAUACUAGACCUGGUGACUGAAUGUGGUAUUUGAAUUGCUGACAUAAUCUGUAUGUGUACGUAUGUGACUGAUUUAUGUGUAAUCACAGUGUCAAGAAAUGACCAGACUGAUGUUUGUGAAAUUAUUGAAACACUAGUUGAUUACAUUCUUGAGAAAAACAUUGUGAUGUGUAUAAAAUUUCUACAGUACCUCGAUGAUGCAAAUGUUCUCUUUUACUGAAAUAAAAACCCAAAACAAUUAAA
RNA transcript from Myxocyprinus asiaticus (Chinese sucker), 4967 nucleotides. RefSeq lists it as uncharacterized. NCBI's taxonomy places the organism in Eukaryota, Metazoa, Chordata, Actinopteri, Cypriniformes, Catostomidae. The record is from RefSeq and is a predicted model, not a curated record. The transcript has 4 exons.